Molecule: non-coding RNA, 740 nt
Organism: Prunus avium (sweet cherry)
Lineage: Eukaryota; Viridiplantae; Streptophyta; Magnoliopsida; Rosales; Rosaceae
Source: RefSeq, a predicted model, not a curated record
UGGAAAACGGAAUUCAUCCGAAAUGCAAAUCCAGCCAAUCACGUCGCAGCAUUAGAUCGAUCCUCUCUCCACCACGAAUUUAGAUACUCUCUCCCCAUCACUCGUGUCGCCAAAUUUCACCAAUUUCCCCCAGUAACGUCACGUGACUCGGGCCCCACCCCUUUCCCUUCCAGAAGCCCAACUCUUCUCUGCCUCACUCUGUAAAGCUCUCUCUCUCUCUCUCACUCUUCGGAGGGAAGGCUCUGCAUGUUGGAAGUUUGGUUGAUGUUUACUUUGUGAAGCUUCUGGCGAUGUGUGGACGAAACUCUGUGCGUGUCUCUGAUUGCGGUUUCGGUUUCGGUUUUGUGGUUAAUUGUGGCUUCUUCAGAGAUGUUUGAUUGGAACGACGAGGAGGAAGAGUUCCUUGGUGGAGUGAAAGCAAGGUGAAGAAACAAGAAUCGGGCUGAACUAGGAUUCUAUAUAAUGAACUGAAGACCUGAGAAGUAACAUUUUUUGAAAUGAUGUUGCAACUUGGAUAUGUAGCACUAAGUGGAAUUAUAGAGGCGACAUUGAGCUCUGGGGGUUAUUUAGAGUUCUAAUAAAAAAUGUGGUUCUUUAUGGUUUCUAUACUGUAACUAGGAAAUAUGAGAGUGAAGAAGGUAUAAGGAAAGUUACAAGUUAUACUGUAUGUGUAACCCAAAAAAGGUAGUAGUGGAAUCUCGUCUUGAAAGCUAUAGAUCACACUGUCCCGAAUUCAAUUA